This 459-nucleotide ribosomal RNA is filed under the name uncultured bacterium. Its description in RNAcentral is "partial 16S ribosomal RNA". It matches the Rfam family "Bacterial small subunit ribosomal RNA", at positions 338 to 795 of the family's 1533-position model. The record is from RNAcentral.
CCUACGGGUGGCAGCAGUGAGGAAUAUUGGUCAAUGGGCGCAAGCCUGAACCAGCCAAGCCGCGUGAGGGAAGACGGCUCUAUGGGUUGUAAACCUCUUUUGUAAGGGAACAAAAGCGACUACGAGUAGCCGGAUGAGAGUACCUUACGAAUAAGCAUCGGCUAACUCCGUGCCAGCAGCCGCGGUAAUACGGAGGAUGCGAGCGUUAUCCGGAUUUAUUGGGUUUAAGGGGUGCGUAGGCGGUUUAUUAAGUUAGUGGUAAAAGCCCGGGGCUCAACCCUGACGGGCCGUUUAAACUGGAGUACUAGAGUAGAGGCGAGGUAGGCGGAAUGAGUGGUGUAGCGGUGAAAUGCUUAGAUAUCACACAGAACCCCGAUUGCGAAGGCAGCUUACCAGACUAUUACUGACGCUGAGGCACGAAAGCGUGGGUAGCGAACAGGAUUAGAUACCCGUGUAGUC